Molecule: non-coding RNA, 70 nt
Organism: Dipodomys ordii (Ord's kangaroo rat)
Lineage: Eukaryota; Metazoa; Chordata; Mammalia; Rodentia; Heteromyidae
Source: Rfam
GGGAAUGUGGCUUAGUGGUAGAGUGCUUGCCUAGUAUGCAUGAAGCCCUGGGUUCAAUUCCUCAGUACCA